AGUGAACGCUGGCGGUAGGCCUAACACAUGCAAGUCGAACGGCAGCACAGUAAGAGCUUGCUCUUACGGGUGGCGAGUGGCGGACGGGUGAGGAAUACAUCGGAAUCUACUUUUUCGUGGGGGAUAACGUAGGGAAACUUACGCUAAUACCGCAUACGACCUACGGGUGAAAGCAGGGGUUCUUCGGACCUUGCGCGAUUGAAUGAGCCGAUGUCGGAUUAGCGAGUUGGCGGGGUAAAGGCCCACCAAGGCGACGAUCCGUAGCUGGUCUGAGAGGAUGAUCAGCCACACUGGAACUGAGACACGGUCCAGACUCCUACGGGAGGCAGCAGUGGGGAAUAUUGGACAAUGGGCGCAAGCCUGAUCCAGCCAUACCGCGUGGGUGAAGAAGGCCUUCGGGUUGUAAAGCCCUUUUGUUGGGAAAGAAAAGCAGCAGGUUAAUACCCCGCUGUUCUGACGGUACCCAAAGAAUAAGCACCGGCUAACUUCGUG
Molecule: ribosomal RNA, 492 nt
Filed under: uncultured bacterium
Lineage: Bacteria
Description: partial 16S ribosomal RNA
Rfam family: Bacterial small subunit ribosomal RNA
Source: RNAcentral